This 476-nucleotide ribosomal RNA is filed under the name uncultured bacterium. RNAcentral's name for it is "bacterial SSU rRNA". It matches the Rfam family "Bacterial small subunit ribosomal RNA", at positions 28 to 502 of the family's 1533-position model. The record is from RNAcentral.
GACGAACGCUGGCGGCGUGCCUAACACAUGCAAGUCAACUUGACUGAAGGAGCAAUCUGACAGUAGAGUGGCGCAAGGGUGCGUAACGCGUAAGUAACUUGCCCCAAGGUAAGGAAUAACGUCGAGAAAUCGGCGCUAAUACCUCAUAAUGCAGCGGAUCCGCAUGGAUAUGUUGUUAAAGGUUUACCGCCUUGGGAUAGGCUUGCGUCUGAUUAGCUAGUUGGUGUGGUAACGGCACACCAAGGCUACGAUCAGUAACUGGUCUGAGAGGAUGAUCAGUCACACUGGAACUGAGACACGGUCCAGACUCCUACGGGAGGCAGCAGUGAGGAAUAAUUGGGCAAUGCUCGAAAGAGUGACCCAGCAACGCCGCGUGGAGGAUGAAGGUAUUCUAUAUCGUAAACUCCUGUGAGAGCAGACGAAAGACAGAUUAUUAAUCUGGAUGACUGUAUGCUCAGAGGAAGCCCCGGCUAACU